This 464-nucleotide long non-coding RNA is filed under the name Oryctolagus cuniculus (rabbit). RNAcentral describes it as "lncRNA (ENSOCUG00000038977.1)". Lineage: Eukaryota; Metazoa; Chordata; Mammalia; Lagomorpha; Leporidae. The record is from RNAcentral.
CAUCCCACAUGGGCACCGGGUUCUAGUCCCGGUUGCUCCUUUUCCAGUCCAGCUCUCUGCUGUGGCCUGGGAGGGCAGUGGAGGAUGGCCCAAGUGCUUGGGCCCUGCACCUGCACGGAAGAUGAAGAAGCACCUGGCUCCUGGCUUCAGAUCAGCAUAGCUCUGGCCGUAGUGGCCAUUUGGGGGGGGGGUGUGUGAACCAACGGAAGGAAGACCUUUCUCUGUCUGUCUCUCUCUCACUGUCUAACUCUAUCUGUCAAAUGAAAAAACCCAACUCCUUAGGAUGCUUGUGUUUUUUCCUCACAGAGCUGGUGUCGCUGCCAUGUGCCUGCUUGAAGAAUGAUUCUCACACGAAGAUAUUCAGGGUUGUUCUUGAUGACUGAAGAUCUGCAUGCAUGCGCGCUGAACCAGGAGCAGUGUAUUAUGGCUACAUGGAGGGCAUUUGACCCAAAACUAAUAGUUGA